UUGGUUCUGACUGUAAAUGAUACAUUUACAGUUAAACACUGUUAGGCUCAUAUUGGCAGUUUGCAAGAGGAUAGGCAUUUGAUGGCGGGAGGAGGAGAGCGAACCCAGCAUUCAUCCACUCAAUAAAGAGAUCGAAUCAACCUUGAAGUGAGGUGAGGAGAGAAAGCUGCAAAAACAACAUUUUGAUGCUUCCUGGGGAUCAACCCAACGUCUGGCACAAAGGCCACAAAGUGGAUCAGUCCAAGAAGUGGGAAGGUGCAAGAGAAGUGGAACAGCAAUGUCAACCUUCAUGUCUCUGCACUUCUAAAAAGGUUAAUGGACUUUGAAUGGCUUUGAGCCCGUUUGCAAAAGAAACAAUAAUGGCACACUGUUUUGUAUAAAAAAAACAAAAAAACAAUGGUUCCAAGAUGUGGUUAUUUUUUACACAUUUGACUUUGUUGCUGCAAAUUACAGUAGUUAAUUUAAAGUUACACUGUGUGGCUGCAAGUCUUGUGCAGUCUGGUGUAUGUUUAUGUGAGUUUGUUCAUGUCUGUGUGAGUUUGAAAAUAUACACAUCG
Molecule: long non-coding RNA, 557 nt
Organism: Solea solea (common sole)
Lineage: Eukaryota; Metazoa; Chordata; Actinopteri; Pleuronectiformes; Soleidae
Exons: 3
Source: RefSeq, a predicted model, not a curated record